CUUCUUCAGCAGCGAUGCCCACACGGCAUUGCCCAUCCUUCAGCUCACGUGCGCACGCGAUGUUAUCCCCUCUAUCACCGGAUGCCUUCUCUCCUUCUCCUUCGUCACCGUGCGCUUCACUAUGCCUACCAGCCUACACUCGCCUGCUCUGUUGCGUGCUCCCAUCACCGCACACCUAUUGUCGUGCUUCCCUCCUUCCGUGAACACCAUCACCGCGUGACUUAUCGUCGCGCGACUUACACUGCCGCUCUCUCCAUUGCCACGCGACCCUUCUCUCCUUCUAUCGUCGUGAGUCUAAAUGCUUCCGAAUUACUGUCAUUUGAAAGAUCUGUGUGUGUACUAAAAGUUGCAUGUUGAAUUCUUUUUGAAAUUCCCUAUAGACUGAGAGUUAUGACCCGAAAUGUGAGGGUAUAUUAUUGUUCACAGUUGAUGGAAAUUCCAGCAACUGUCACUCACAUUGUGCCGAGCUUUUCACCCAUCAAAUGCUGCCCAAGAAUCUUCAAACUACCACUAUUUUAAAGAUCCAUGUUUAAACUUAUAGUUGUAUGUUUAAAUCAUUUUAAAAUCCUCUUUAAAUUGGGAGUUAUGCUCCCGAGAAGAGGGGUACGUCACUGCCACUCGUGACCAAGAAAUUCAGCUUUAUGCCUAUCUUGAGAAAUAAAUUGUUUUAUGGUAAAACCCUGCCCAAAUGUGUUCAAAUCACUUUUAAUCAUGAGUAAGUCUAUUUUGAAAUUAGUUUCAAAACCACACGGGAACCGUCCACAGUUUGAUAAUGACGCCCCUUUUUCUAUGAGAAUACAUUGGUGGUGAAUGUGGUGAAAUUGUACACCUUUUUAAAUAAAUUGUUCACUAAUCGACUAAGCGACAAGUGUUACAAGUGAUAAUUGCUAAGCAUAAUGUUAUGUGAUAGUUGAAUGCUGCAUGUCAAAUGCGAAGUACGCAAUGUUAUGUGAUCGUGCAAUAAAUGAUGACCGAUAAGUACAAAUGCCAUGUGAUAGCCCAACGAUAAAUGUUACGUGAUAAAUUCCAUAACGCUAAUGUGAAAUGUGCCAUAAAUGUUGAUUGAUAAGUGUAAGUGCCACUUGAUAGUCCUAUUAUGAUGGAUGUUUUAUGCCAAGUGUCAUAGUGUUACAUGACAUUUGUAUAUUUGUGAACAAGACUCAAACUUUGCAUAAUGAGACUGGAAUUGCUGUCAUAAGGUACUAAUUAAGUACGAGAAAAAUUAAUGCUUGACUGUUCUGUUAUGAUACUGUGAUAUUGACCACUGCGUAAUGGGCCACCCAUUGGUAGUGGGUACUGUUCUAUUAUGAUACUGUGAUAUUGACCACUACGCAAUGGGACACCCAUUGGUAGUGCGACUGAAGUGAUAGAUGCUAUGAGAGCUCUUUGGCAUGCUUUGGGUGUAUCGCAUGAACAAACAUUGAUGUUGGGGGAUGGCUCCUUUGAGAGUAUUGCAGGGCCUGCCUAUGUGACUUAUGCCAAUAAGGUGCAUGCUUUGGGCAUAUUGUAUGACCUGACCUUGUUGUUGUUGUGAAAUGGUAAUAUUCUCUAUGUUGAAAUAAGGGUAUACUCUGUUGUGAUAAGAACAUAUGUGGUGAACCAUAUUCAGUUAUAGAUGAAUGAGUGAUAUUGAGAAAUGCAUAUGAUGAUACUCCUAAAGAAAGGGUUUUUCUGAACUGAUAAUUCAUAUGAUAUCCAUUAUCUGCACUGUGAAUGUGAAUGAUAGCUACAGUAUUGAACAAAUGAGAAUUAUGAUACUUGAAACGACACCUGUAUAGAUGCAUUGAUGAAAUUUAUGGUUUAUAUGAUAUCUACACUGUGAUAGCUUGUAAUUGAGAAAACAGUUUAUUAACACAUGGAUAGGCUCAAUAAUGAUGCUUUGUACCUAGACCUACUUAUUAGGCUUUAUAGCUCAUUCCACUAUUUCUCCCCGCCUUGUAGAUUGAUAGCGUCAGGUUACGGGGCCAGGAGUAUGUGUUUUG
This 1982-nucleotide long non-coding RNA is filed under the name Amborella trichopoda. Its description in RNAcentral is "long non-coding RNA (ATRI_LNC004667)". The record is from RNAcentral. Lineage: Eukaryota; Viridiplantae; Streptophyta; Magnoliopsida; Amborellales; Amborellaceae.